This 400-nucleotide long non-coding RNA is filed under the name Neogale vison (American mink). Its description in RNAcentral is "Neovison vison (American mink) lncRNA (ENSNVIG00000012337.1)". Lineage: Eukaryota; Metazoa; Chordata; Mammalia; Carnivora; Mustelidae. The record is from RNAcentral.
AUGCCAUCUCUAACUCUGAUUUUCAUUGUACACUCCUUCCGAGAAUCCUCCCUGGACAGUUUCAGAAGCCACCAGCCCCACCAUGGACUUCCUUGCAGAUCUGAAGAAACUGGCAGCCCCCUUCUGAGUGACCCACACUUUGGAAUGAAGUACAGUUGGCAAGCAAAAGGAAAUGCUGGACGAGGAGAGGAUGAUGAGGCACCUCAUUGUGGGCUUGGGAAGUGACUUGACGACCCUGCCCUGAGAGCCUGCUCGAGAGGGUUGGCAAACUCUCCUGGUCCUGCUGUGAUUCCCUCAGGCUUGUGAGGGACGACAGAUGGUUGAGCUAAACUCAGAGCCACCCCUCCACAUAAUGAAGAAAAAUGGCCAGCCUCCUGGUAAGUGGAAAUCAGAACCCGUG